GGAAGAUUGGCCGAGUGGUCGAUGGCAACUGCGUGCUAAGCAGUACCGGGUUAUUCCGGCGGAGGUUCGAAUCCUCCAUCUUCCG
RNAcentral lists this transfer RNA (85 nucleotides) under Ktedonobacteraceae bacterium. RNAcentral describes it as "tRNA-Ser". It matches the Rfam family "tRNA". Rfam says of the family: Transfer RNA (tRNA) molecules are approximately 80 nucleotides in length. Their secondary structure includes four short double-helical elements and three loops (D, anti-codon, and T loops). Lineage: Bacteria; Bacillati; Chloroflexota; Ktedonobacteria; Ktedonobacterales; Ktedonobacteraceae. The record is from RNAcentral.